GAAUGGCUUCACAUUUUCUAACUGUCUCUCUUUAUUCUCUUUUAAAUUUCUACUUCCGUGAAGAAGCGGAAAUAAUAAUAUAAGACGAGAAGACCCUGUCGAGCUUUAGCCAAUUUAAAAUAAAUAUUAUUAAAAAGGCUUUGGUUGGGGCAACCAUGGAGAAAAUUUAUCCUCCAGAAAUUAAAGAUGAACUAUUAUUCUCUUANUUUAAAUUUGAACCAAUUUAUUUUGGUAAUCAGAAAUAGUUACCGCAGGGAUAACAGCGUAAUCUUCUUUAAGAGCCCAUAUUGACA
This 293-nucleotide ribosomal RNA is filed under the name Peniagone islandica. RNAcentral's name for it is "partial 16S ribosomal RNA". It matches the Rfam family "Bacterial large subunit ribosomal RNA", at positions 1994 to 2510 of the family's 2925-position model. The record is from RNAcentral. Lineage: Eukaryota; Metazoa; Echinodermata; Holothuroidea; Elasipodida; Elpidiidae.